RNAcentral lists this transfer RNA (75 nucleotides) under Pseudomonadota bacterium. RNAcentral describes it as "tRNA-Trp". It matches the Rfam family "tRNA". Rfam says of the family: Transfer RNA (tRNA) molecules are approximately 80 nucleotides in length. Their secondary structure includes four short double-helical elements and three loops (D, anti-codon, and T loops). Further hydrogen bonds mediate the characteristic L-shaped molecular structure. tRNAs have two regions of fundamental functional importance: the anti-codon, which is responsible for specific mRNA codon recognition, and the 3' end, to which the tRNAs corresponding amino acid is attached (by aminoacyl-tRNA synthetases). tRNAs cope with the degeneracy of the genetic code in two manners: having more than one tRNA (with a specific anti-codon) for a particular amino acid; and 'wobble' base-pairing, i.e. permitting non-standard base-pairing at the 3rd anti-codon position. RNAcentral also lists the same sequence under 4 other names. The record is from RNAcentral. Lineage: Bacteria; Pseudomonadati; Pseudomonadota.
AGGGGCGUAGCUCAGUGGCAGAGCACCGGUCUCCAAAACCGGAGGUCGGGGGUUCGAAUCCCUCCGCCCCUGCCA